This 376-nucleotide ribosomal RNA is filed under the name uncultured Diversispora. Its description in RNAcentral is "SSU rRNA". It matches the Rfam family "Eukaryotic small subunit ribosomal RNA", at positions 569 to 946 of the family's 1831-position model. Lineage: Eukaryota; Fungi; Glomeromycota; Glomeromycetes; Diversisporales; Diversisporaceae. The record is from RNAcentral.
AGCAGCCGCGGUAAUUCCAGCUCCAAUAGCGUAUAUUAAAGUUGUUGCAGUUAAAAAGCUCGUAGUUGAACUUCGGGAUUUGCCCAUUGGUCAGGCUUAACUGUCUGCACUGGUGUGACGAGUUCCUACCUUCUGAGGAAUCUCCAUGUCAUUCAGUUGGUGUGGGGGGAAAUCAGGACUGUUACUUUAGAAAAAAUUAGAGUGUUUAAAGCAGGCGUCCGUCUGAAUACAUUAGCAUGGAAUAAUAAAAUAGGACGGUUUGGUUCUAUUUUGUUGGUUUCUAGGAUCACCGUAAUGAUUAAUAGGGAUAGUUGGGGGCAUUAGUAUUCAAUUGUCAGAGGUGAAAUUCUUGGAUUUAUUGAAGACUAACUACUGA